GCCAGGGCGUGGCUUUAGGUAUGGCGUAAUAAUGAUUUUGUCAGCUGCCUGCCAUUUCCAACAAUCUGUCAAGGUGGGUGGGACAUGCGGCGAAUGCAGGCCGGCCAGCGGAGAUCCGCAAUCAUAAAUGCACCGGAUCUCGGGGUCUAUUUAAACACGUUCUCCUCCUUCAUGGGUUUCACUUUGCUUGAGAGAAUCCCUCAAUUCCCCUCCUUUUCCCCA
RNAcentral lists this long non-coding RNA (222 nucleotides) under Elaeis guineensis (African oil palm). RNAcentral's name for it is "long non-coding RNA (EGUI_LNC064763)". The record is from RNAcentral. Lineage: Eukaryota; Viridiplantae; Streptophyta; Magnoliopsida; Arecales; Arecaceae.